AACGAACGCUGGCGGCAUGCCUAACACAUGCAAGUCGAACGAGACCUUCGGGCCUAGUGGCGCACGGGUGCGUAACGAGUGGGAACCUGCCCUUAGGUUCGGAAUAACUCACUGAAAGGGGUGCUAAUACCGGAUAAUGUCUUCGGACCAAAGAUUUAUCGCCUUUGGAUGGGCCCGCGUUGGAUUCGCUAGUUGGUAGGGUAAAAGCCUACCAAGGCGACGAUGCAUAGCUGGUCUGGGAGGAUGAUCAGCCACACUUGGACUGAGACACGGCCCAGACUCCUACGGGAGGCAGCAGUGGAGAAUAUUGUACAAUGGGCGAAAGCCUGAUCCAGCCAUGCCGCGUGAGUGAUGAAGGCCUUAGGGUUGUAAAUCUCUUUUACCCGGGAUGAUAAUGACAGUACCGGGAGAAUAAGCUCCGGCUAACUCCGUG
Molecule: ribosomal RNA, 433 nt
Filed under: uncultured bacterium
Lineage: Bacteria
Description: partial 16S ribosomal RNA
Rfam family: Bacterial small subunit ribosomal RNA
Source: RNAcentral